AGAAUAAAGGAACCAUGCCGGUUGCUGUGACUCCACACACAGAGCAAAGAAAUCCUCUGCGAACCCCGUGGGUUUAUAGAAGUCUAUCAAUCACUCUGUCAGUCUUCCGGAUCAUUAUUCAAGUUGCUGUCCCCAAUUUUGCUGGAUAUAUCAGAUCAGCUCCAGCUCCAUAGCUUCCUUCUGCAGAGAACAACAGCUGUAUUGGCCUGGCAUGAUUGUGAUGCAGGACCCUAUAAAGAGGAGCCUUAAGAUCUACAGAUAACUUGAGGUGGACAGUGUGUUUUUCUUCCUAUUUUUAAAGACAACAAAGUGGAAAACUGGUGAAUAUUAUAAGGACACACUGAAGAAUGCACUCCUACUAAGGCAAUAAAAAAGAGAACAUAUGUCCAAAUUCUUUUUCAUUUAAUUCCAUUUCUCUGUGUGAAAUUUUGUACUUCCCUGCAUUAAGUGUAAGCAAAUAUUUUUCAUGUAACAUUUUCAAUUAAAUUAAAUAUUGCCAUUUAAUUCACAUGAAUUGAACACCUACUAUGUUCCUGGUAAUUCAGUGUACAAACACGACUAAAAUAUCUUUUCUGAGCUCUUUGCAGGCUAUUUGAGAAAGUUGGUAAACUGAUAAGCUCAACACAAAGCAACAAGUGGUGUAAUAGAGGUUUGCACAGCAAGCAAAGCAUCUGACUUCCCCUCCCCCUCAAUUUAAAAUUCUAUG
This is a long non-coding RNA of Diceros bicornis minor, 706 nucleotides long. RefSeq lists it as uncharacterized. Lineage: Eukaryota; Metazoa; Chordata; Mammalia; Perissodactyla; Rhinocerotidae. The transcript has 3 exons. The record is from RefSeq and is a predicted model, not a curated record.